GUCAUGCUCUAAUACCGGAUCACAGCGUUCGAAAACCUUCUUUCCGCGCAAAUCCUUCGAUAAAAAAUUCGGGCAUCUUCAUAACUGGGAAUGCGGAACCAAGUUUCCCUCUAAACCCCCCACCUUCGAACGGCUCCGAAACCCUAGUCCCGGCUCCGGACGUCGCGAAUUCAUUCGAAGCCCGCUCUCAUUCUCGCCGGAAUCCAUGGAUUCGAGAGAGGAGGGGAAGGAGCUCCGGAGCGCCGGUGAGCUCGACGACGAGACGAUCGCGAAGAAGCGCUCUCGCCGGGUGAGCUUCGCCGAGACCACCGCCGUCCACGUUUUCGACCGCGACGAGGACUUCGAGACCCCGCCGGACUCAAAGCCGGCCUCGACCGACAGCCCCGGGCCUGCCGGAGGGGUGGUAGGGUUCCAAGGAGACCAGUCAGAUAGUGAUGAUUCCAAGGGUUUCGCCCACGAGGAACGGGAGGACGACGAGGACGAGGACGAGGACGGAGAGCAGGAGCGGUUUGUGAGGGACAUGGAUUCCUCGUCACCUGGAAGCGCCGUUGGAUCGGUGACUUCAAAUGAUGAUGAUAACUUUUUUGGGCCCGUAUCAACGAGUUUUAUUAGAUCGGGGAGACUCUCUGAAGCUGGAAUAUCAGAUGAUGAAAAUCAUGAUGUUACCCUGGAUUCCACAACAUUUUCGUUGCAUUUCCGUAAUCUUGCUCCCCCAGAUGACCGCACCACGAACUCAGCAGGAAGCAUCAGGACACCAACAGGAGAUACAGUACCUGCUGACAGUGGGAACCACAUGGUCCCUGCAAGAUCUAAGAAGCUGUUGUCUCACAGCAAGCUUUCUGAUGGGAAGCUGAGUGGCAGUGGGGGUGGCUCAAGUAACAUGAGUCUGAUAGUGAAUGACACUCAUAGAUAUGAUUAUGCAAAAUUAUCACCCACAUCAGAAGCGCUGCUGAGUGAAGUAAACAAGUGCAUGCAGUCCAAUUCUCCAAAUGGUGACAGUAGAAUCAUGACGUCUGAUGAACAUAUAGGUGUAGUUCCAGUUGCAAAAGAAUCUGAAAAGGAUGAAGGACAUGUCAGUAAUGUAGCUGCACUGGAUGAUGUGCCUGAUGAUCAACUUGUUGGUCCAUAUCUUUCAAAAGAUGUUUCAAUGGGUGCUGUCACUGAACAAGCGGAUAGCGAGCAUCUCUCUCCUAUUAUGAAAACAGAUCUACCUGUGGAUAAAUCAAUCAAUGAAAAGACAAAGGGAACGGUUUCUCCCAUAGCUAAGGGCUUUUGCAGAGAUGUUCAUGAGGCAAUUCAGUCUGAUACAGUGGAAGCCACUGCUCAAAAUUCUGACAUGCUCUCACCUCCAUAUAGAGGGUCCAGGAGCAAGUUCAUUUUGCAAUCUGCUCAUGUACACCAAGCACUUUUUAAAGAUCAACUAAGUGGGAGCCAAUACUUUUCCAAUUCUUCCCCUCUAUCUGCCAGAGAAGUUCUGGUUCCUGCAUUGAUGAUCACAGAUGGUCAACAACAAGAACAACAACUUGAAUCUGAUUGUGGAAUGCGUACUCCAAAAAAUGCUGUUCAACCCUUUGAGUCUCCAUCACAAGGGUCUGUAUCCUCUUUACGUGCCAAGCGGCAGCGGCUUUUUCUUGAUUCUGCUGUUUGUUCUGUGGGUAAAUUGACAGAUAGUUCUGCUAGAGAACAACCUCCUUCCUCUUUGGAGCUGCAACUUGUAAAACAUAGUGAGAGAAUUUCAGCUAUUAAAAAUCGCAUGUCAAAAUUCACAAUUCCUGAGACACCAAUAUUUAGGAAUCCCAGAGUAGCAACACCAAGAAAGGAUCAUUUGCCACUUGAGCCGGAUGGUACAUUGGAAAGGAUGAGUAAUAAUCCCAGCACGAAACUUGUGUGUCUCCCUGUUAUGAACAUGGAAGAGAACUUUACGAGUUCUGUUCGAAGGAACAGAGUACAGGGAAUGAGUGUUGAAUUAAAUCAUCCAUGGAAUGACAUUAGGGAAUGGACACACAGUGAGAAAAAUGAAGCAUCUGGUGAAACUAUAAAACCAAAUGAAGCUGCAUCUUCAUCUAACCCAGAAACAAAAAUCAACCAGAGUCCAUUGAUCUCUCAAUGCUUCACUGAAGAGGUCUCUAUCCUUGGUGAACAUGGUUCAUCUCCAAGGCAGACUAUGAUUAAACUCAAGGAAAAUAGUCUGGUUUCUGAUAGUGUACACAAAGUCGACCAUCAGGAUUUCUGUGCUGUUCAAGAAUCAACUUCUGUUCAAGAUCUUGAUCUGUUUGGAAAGAAAAGAAGAAGUGAACAAAAUCUUAUCAUGGAUGAAGACCGUGCCAGUAAAACAAGCAAAACAGAAAAGAGUCCAGACGUUUCACCUGAAGUUGCAGUCAGUGGAUCUGGAUUUUCAUUGGGAAGUCAGGGGGGAUGCAACAACGAAGCUCAUGAUUUUGGAGGCCAAUCACCAGUGACACAUUGGACUAAUAUGUUCGCCAAAAUAUCUGAGGCAACAAAACUAGCAUUUUCACCAUCCAUGCAUAAGCUUAGUUUGCAAGAGCUUCACAUUUUGGAAGACAUGUUGGCUGAGUUGCAAAUGGCUAGAAAGUAUGAGAGGCUUUCAGCUUCCCUGAGAAAUCAUGAUCGCUUGGGUGACUUACAUCAUCAGAGAGUAGCUGAAGUGAGAUCAUUGCAAGACAAGCUUUUAUAUGAGCAGGCAAAACUACAGAUAAGACGUGUCAAGCUAGAUCAAUUACAUAAUAAAGCACAGCUAACUCAGUCAGGAAUCCGGGAAUGUUGUAAUCUAAAAUUAAUGUUUUCACAGCUUUCUCUUCCAAGUACAAGAGCUUCUAAAACUAAGGAGGACCAUCUUCACUCAGUUUCAUCCAUUUCUAGUAGUAAAAAUCAGGGGCAACACGACAGAGUGAUAUCAAUGAGACAGGAAGUCAAAAUGCUGGAGCAAAAAGUGGAGCACUUGAUGAAAUCUCUUGGUGCUUGUUGCAAGAUAAAAGGGAAUUUGAACUGUGAUGAGAUUAUUAAAGCUGCCAAUGAACAUUUAGAAAAGAGAAAAAGCUGUAGGAUCAUUCACCAAGAUUUGCGGCUAUGGGAGUUGAGCAACAUAGUGAAAAGUAAUGAUCAACAUGACAUUGUUCUCAACUAUUGCAAUUUACUCUUCCAGAGGUUUACAGUAAAUGGCAGCCAAACUUCAAGUAUAGCUGCCAAAAUCUCAUUAAAUGAUUCAAACAUCGAAAAGACUUUCCCAAACAUGAAUGCUUGUGCAGCCUUUGAGUUUGUUUUCAAAGCCAAGGAUGAUCACAGACUUUCUGGUUCAAAAUGUCUUCAGCAAAAGACACUGGAAACCAGCUUGCUUCUGGGUACCCUAGUUGAUGUGCUUGAAGAAGUUCAAGUUACAAGAAUGGAAUUGUUAAAUUUGACGCACUCGACCUUCCAUUCUCAUCCCUCGGGCCAACUUGAGUUGCAGCUCUGUUUUAUGAAUCUCAGGAGGGGGUGGAAAGUUACAUUGAUUCUCGACAUGACCAAUCUAAAUUGUGCUGUCUAUCCCUCUGAGCCAUCUGAGCUGCAGUUCAAGAUAUCUGGGACACACACAACACUGCCACUGUCAGUCUCAAAUGAAAUAUUUUCUGCACUUCAGAGCCUUCAAGGUGGACAUUUAAUGAUUGCAAGGUUCUGCCGGUUGAUAUCCCAGGCAGUUCGGGCUUUUUCAGAUCCAUACUGUAGGAAGUCUGCCUCAUUGAGCAUCCCUCUAUUUUGCUGACUGCAUAUGUUCAUGGAGUAGAUGCCUCUGUCGGUUGUGCACUCUGACUUUAGGGGGUUAAAUGUGCAUGCGUGAAUUAUACUCACCAAUGUUCUCUCCUAUGCAUCUCCAUGUAAUCUAAGUUCCUGCAGAAGUGAGAGAAACUCAGAGCAAGAAUGUCCUGGUUUACCUCGUGUUCCUGGACUUCAGAAGCCUAUCUUGUUACUGUUGCUUUCUAUGUUCUGGCAUGCGUCAAGUGGUGCACACCUUAGCUUGCAAUCCAGGACCUCUCAUUAGUUACCUCACAGACUUGUUAAAACUAAUUAACGGGUGAAUAUAUGGUAUAUUUUUUUGUAAAUUUAGGUACAGUUUCCAUUUUAUCUAAUGGCUGCUGUAUCUGAGAAAACCUCUCUACCAAUUGAGAACCUUGGAUGAAAGAGAAACUAUGCAGCGUCAUGCACGAA
Molecule: non-coding RNA, 4203 nt
Organism: Elaeis guineensis (African oil palm)
Lineage: Eukaryota; Viridiplantae; Streptophyta; Magnoliopsida; Arecales; Arecaceae
Source: RefSeq, a predicted model, not a curated record